Molecule: ribosomal RNA, 172 nt
Filed under: Streptomyces boetiae
Lineage: Bacteria; Bacillati; Actinomycetota; Actinomycetes; Kitasatosporales; Streptomycetaceae
Description: Streptomyces sp. DSM 44917 partial 23S ribosomal RNA
Rfam family: Bacterial large subunit ribosomal RNA
Source: RNAcentral
GCCCAGGGUAAGUCGGGGCCUAAGGCGAGGCCGACAGGCGUAGUCGAUGGAUAACCGGUUGAUAUUCCGGUACCCGCCGUGAAGCGCCAGCGCUGAAUCUCCUGAUGCUAAGCCCGUGAAGCCGCCCCCUGUAGCCUUCGGGUGAGGGGGGAGUGGUGGAGCCGGUGGCCCG